This 550-nucleotide ribosomal RNA is filed under the name uncultured archaeon. RNAcentral describes it as "bacterial SSU rRNA". It matches the Rfam family "Archaeal small subunit ribosomal RNA", at positions 326 to 878 of the family's 1478-position model. The record is from RNAcentral.
CGGGGUGCAACAGGCGCGAAACCUCUGCAAUAGGCGAAAGCCUGACAGGGUUAUUCUGAGUGACUUUCGCUAAGAAAGUCUUUUGACAUCUCUAAAAAUGGUGUAGAAUAAGGGGUGGGCAAGUCUGGUGUCAGCCGCCGCGGUAAUACCAGCACCCCGAGUGGUCGGGACGAUUAUUGGGCCUAAAGCAUCCGUAGCCGGUUUUACAAGUCCUCCGUUAAAUCCAACUGCUUAACAGAUGGGCCGCGGAGGAUACUAUAAGACUAGGAGGCAGGAGAGGCAAGCGGUACUCAGUGGGUAGGGGUAAAAUCCGUUGAUCCAUUGAAGACCGCCAGUGGCGAAGGCGGCUUGCCAGAAUGCGCUCGACGGUGAGGGAUGAAAGCUGGGGGAGCAAACCGGAUUAGAUACCCGGGUAGUCCCAGCUGUAAACGAUGCAGACUCGGUGAUGGACUAGCUUAAUGCUAGUCCAGUGCCGCAGGGAAGCCGUUAAGUCUGCCGCCUGGGUAGUACGGUCGCAAGACUGAAACUUAAAGGAAUUGGCGGGGGAGCA